UCGGGAAUUUUGGGCAAGGGGCGAAAGCCUGACCCAGCAACGCCGCGUGAGGGAUGAAGUAUUUCGGUAUGUAAACCUCGAAAGCAUGGGAAGAAUAAAUGACGGUACCAUUUAUAAGCUCCGGCUAACUACGUGCCAGCAGCCGCGGUAAUACGUAGGGAGCAAGCGUUGUUCGGAUUUACUGGGCGUAAAGGGUGCGUAGGCGGCGCUCUAAGUUUGGUGUGAAAUCUCCCGGCUUAACUGGGAGGGUGCACUGAAAACUGGGGCGCGCGAGUAUGGGAGAGGACAGCGGAAUUCCCGGUGUAGCGGUGAAAUGCGUAGAGAUCAGGAGGAACACCUGCGGUGCAGACGGCUUUCUGGACCAUCACUGACGCCGAGGC
RNAcentral lists this ribosomal RNA (380 nucleotides) under uncultured bacterium. RNAcentral's name for it is "bacterial SSU rRNA". It matches the Rfam family "Bacterial small subunit ribosomal RNA", at positions 355 to 752 of the family's 1533-position model. The record is from RNAcentral.